This 2369-nucleotide ribosomal RNA is filed under the name Staphylococcus aureus. RNAcentral describes it as "partial 23S ribosomal RNA". It matches the Rfam family "Bacterial large subunit ribosomal RNA", at positions 1 to 2367 of the family's 2925-position model. The record is from RNAcentral. Lineage: Bacteria; Bacillati; Bacillota; Bacilli; Caryophanales; Staphylococcaceae.
AGAUUAAGUUAUUAAGGGCGCACGGUGGAUGCCUUGGCACUAGAAGCCGAUGAAGGACGUUACUAACGACGAUAUGCUUUGGGGAGCUGUAAGUAAGCUUUGAUCCAGAGAUUUCCGAAUGGGGAAACCCAGCAUGAGUUAUGUCAUGUUAUCGAUAUGUGAAUACAUAGCAUAUCAGAAGGCACACCCGGAGAACUGAAACAUCUUAGUACCCGGAGGAAGAGAAAGAAAAUUCGAUUCCCUUAGUAGCGGCGAGCGAAACGGGAAGAGCCCAAACCAAAAAGCUUGCUUGUUGGGGUUGUAGGACACUCUAUACGGAGUUACAAAGGACGACAUUAGACGAAUCAUCUGGAAAGAUGAAUCAAAGAAGGUAAUAAUCCUGUAGUCGAAAAUGUUGUCUCUCUUGAGUGGAUCCUGAGUACGACGGAGCACGUGAAAUUCCGUCGGAAUCUGGGAGGACCAUCUCCUAAGGCUAAAUACUCUCUAGUGACCGAUAGUGAACCAGUACCGUGAGGGAAAGGUGAAAAGCACCCCGGAAGGGGAGUGAAAUAGAACCUGAAACCGUGUGCUUACAAGUAGUCAGAGCCCGUUAAUGGGUGAUGGCGUGCCUUUUGUAGAAUGAACCGGCGAGUUACGAUUUGAUGCAAGGUUAAGCAGUAAAUGUGGAGCCGUAGCGAAAGCGAGUCUGAAUAGGGCGUUUAGUAUUUGGUCGUAGACCCGAAACCAGGUGAUCUACCCUUGGUCAGGUUGAAGUUCAGGUAACACUGAAUGGAGGACCGAACCGACUUACGUUGAAAAGUGAGCGGAUGAACUGAGGGUAGCGGAGAAAUUCCAAUCGAACCUGGAGAUAGCUGGUUCUCUCCGAAAUAGCUUUAGGGCUAGCCUCAAGUGAUGAUUAUUGGAGGUAGAGCACUGUUUGGACGAGGGGCCCCUCUCGGGUUACCGAAUUCAGACAAACUCCGAAUGCCAAUUAAUUUAACUUGGGAGUCAGAACAUGGGUGAUAAGGUCCGUGUUCGAAAGGGAAACAGCCCAGACCACCAGCUAAGGUCCCAAAAUAUAUGUUAAGUGGAAAAGGAUGUGGCGUUGCCCAGACAACUAGGAUGUUGGCUUAGAAGCAGCCAUCAUUUAAAGAGUGCGUAAUAGCUCACUAGUCGAGUGACACUGCGCCGAAAAUGUACCGGGGCUAAACAUAUUACCGAAGCUGUGGAUUGUCCUUUGGACAAUGGUAGGAGAGCGUUCUAAGGGCGUUGAAGCAUGAUCGUAAGGACAUGUGGAGCGCUUAGAAGUGAGAAUGCCGGUGUGAGUAGCGAAAGACGGGUGAGAAUCCCGUCCACCGAUUGACUAAGGUUUCCAGAGGAAGGCUCGUCCGCUCUGGGUUAGUCGGGUCCUAAGCUGAGGCCGACAGGCGUAGGCGAUGGAUAACAGGUUGAUAUUCCUGUACCACCUAUAAUCGUUUUAAUCGAUGGGGGGACGCAGUAGGAUAGGCGAAGCGUGCGAUUGGAUUGCACGUCUAAGCAGUAAGGCUGAGUAUUAGGCAAAUCCGGUACUCGUUAAGGCUGAGCUGUGAUGGGGAGAAGACAUUGAGUCUUCGAGUCGUUGAUUUCACACUGCCGAGAAAAGCCUCUAGAUAGAAAAUAGGUGCCCGUACCGCAAACCGACACAGGUAGUCAAGAUGAGAAUUCUAAGGUGAGCGAGCGAACUCUCGUUAAGGAACUCGGCAAAAUGACCCCGUAACUUCGGGAGAAGGGGUGCUCUUUAGGGUUAACGCCCAGAAGAGCCGCAGUGAAUAGGCCCAAGCGACUGUUUAUCAAAAACACAGGUCUCUGCUAAACCGUAAGGUGAUGUAUAGGGGCUGACGCCUGCCCGGUGCUGGAAGGUUAAGAGGAGUGGUUAGCUUCUGCGAAGCUACGAAUCGAAGCCCCAGUAAACGGCGGCCGUAACUAUAACGGUCCUAAGGUAGCGAAAUUCCUUGUCGGGUAAGUUCCGACCCGCACGAAAGGCGUAACGAUUUGGGCACUGUCUCAACGAGAGACUCGGUGAAAUCAUAGUACCUGUGAAGAUGCAGGUUACCCGCGACAGGACGGAAAGACCCCGUGGAGCUUUACUGUAGCCUGAUAUUGAAAUUCGGCACAGCUUGUACAGGAUAGGUAGGAGCCUUUGAAACGUGAGCGCUAGCUUACGUGGAGGCGCUGGUGGGAUACUACCCUAGCUGUGUUGGCUUUCUAACCCGCACCACUUAUCGUGGUGGGAGACAGUGUCAAGCGGGCAGUUUGACUGGGGCGGGCGCCUCCUAAAAGGUAACGGAGGCGCUCAAAGGUUCCCUCAGAAUGGUUGGAAAUCAUUCAUAGAGUGUAAAGGCAUAAGGGAG